This 729-nucleotide ribosomal RNA is filed under the name Pediococcus pentosaceus. RNAcentral's name for it is "bacterial SSU rRNA". It matches the Rfam family "Bacterial small subunit ribosomal RNA", at positions 56 to 740 of the family's 1533-position model. Lineage: Bacteria; Bacillati; Bacillota; Bacilli; Lactobacillales; Lactobacillaceae. The record is from RNAcentral.
UGCAAGUCGAACGAACUUCCGUUAAUUGAUUAUGACGUACUUGUACUGAUUGAGAUUUUAACACGAAGUGAGUGGCGAACGGGUGAGUAACACGUGGGUAACCUGCCCAGAAGUAGGGGAUAACACCUGGAAACAGAUGCUAAUACCGUAUAACAGAGAAAACCGCAUGGUUUUCUUUUAAAAGAUGGCUCUGCUAUCACUUCUGGAUGGACCCGCGGCGUAUUAGCUAGUUGGUGAGGUAAAGGCUCACCAAGGCAGUGAUACGUAGCCGACCUGAGAGGGUAAUCGGCCACAUUGGGACUGAGACACGGCCCAGACUCCUACGGGAGGCAGCAGUAGGGAAUCUUCCACAAUGGACGCAAGUCUGAUGGAGCAACGCCGCGUGAGUGAAGAAGGGUUUCGGCUCGUAAAGCUCUGUUGUUAAAGAAGAACGUGGGUAAGAGUAACUGUUUACCCAGUGACGGUAUUUAACCAGAAAGCCACGGCUAACUACGUGCCAGCAGCCGCGGUAAUACGUAGGUGGCAAGCGUUAUCCGGAUUUAUUGGGCGUAAAGCGAGCGCAGGCGGUCUUUUAAGUCUAAUGUGAAAGCCUUCGGCUCAACCGAAGAAGUGCAUUGGAAACUGGGAGACUUGAGUGCAGAAGAGGACAGUGGAACUCCAUGUGUAGCGGUGAAAUGCGUAGAUAUAUGGAAGAACACCAGUGGCGAAGGCGGCUGUCUGGUCUGCAAC